Triticum dicoccoides is the source of this 2444-nucleotide RNA transcript. RefSeq lists it as uncharacterized. Lineage: Eukaryota; Viridiplantae; Streptophyta; Magnoliopsida; Poales; Poaceae. The record is from RefSeq and is a predicted model, not a curated record. The transcript is spliced from 7 exons.
ACCACUGUAACUCCCUCCGCUCCUCCCUCCCAAACCCUAACUCCCACUCCCCCGAUUCAGAUCCCCCCUCUCUGCCAUACCUCUCCCCUCGUCGCCGCCUCCCUCUUCGCCACCACCUCUCCCCUCGCCGCCGGUCUGCCACACCUCUCCCUUCGCCCUCGUCUACUACACCGCCGGCAUCUCCGGCACAUCAACCCGGCAGUGACCUUCGGGCUGUUCCUGGCGAGGAAGCUGUCGCUGACUCGGGCGGUGUUCUACAUCAUCAUGUAGUGCCUGGGCGCCAUCUGCGGCGCCGGCGUGGUGAAGGGGUUCCAGCAGGGCCUGAACAUGGGCAAGGGCGGCGGCGCCAACGUGGUGGCGCCCAGCUACACCAAGGGCUCCGGCCUCGGCGCUGUGAUCAUCGGCACCUCCUCGUCUACACUGUCUUCUCCGCCACCGACGCCAAUAGGAACGCCAGGGACUCCCACGUUCCCAUCCUUGCCCCGUCGCCAAUCGGGUUCGCGGUGUUCCUGGUCCACCUGGCCACCAUCCCCAUCACCGGCACCGACAUCAACCCGGCGAGGAGCCUCGGCGCGGCUAUCAUCUACAACAGGGAGCACGCCUGGUCAGACCACUGGAUCUUAUGGGUCGGCCCCUUCAUCGGCACCACGCUGGCCGCCGUCUACCAGCAGGUGGUCAUCAGAGCGAUCCCAUUCAAGACCAAGUCCUAAGCUGUUGUUCUUCCUGCUACAAAGAAGAUGCCAACCCUUGCACGUUUGUCUCGCUGUGUCUCUGUGUCAGCUUCUGUAAGAUGUUGUUUGUCCAAGGUUAGAGGAGACUGCUGCUCUUAGGUUAUGACAAGCCAGGGGCUCUUCUCAACUUCUGGUGAUUUAUGCGAUGCAUGAGGAGAAUCGGGUUGUUGCACACAGCAUGCUGCAGCGAUGUCUUCUUCUCCUCUCUUCGCGGGUGCUCACUGGUCCACGCUGCCACCCAUCAAUGUUGACAAGUCACCAUCUAAAAGGUUGUCCGAGGAGAAACUGCUGGUUUCGAACGCUAGAAAGCUCCUGGCAUGGACAAGACAGAAGUGGGAAGGCUAUUGCUGCUCCAUGCUCCCGGCUUGACUUAAAUAUAUGGACCUGAUUAUCCUGUUGGAAUUAAUCAUUCUUGUUGUGGCAGCUACAUGUUAAUCUAGUUCUAGUCUCUAAUCUUUAUACCCCACAUGCCUUCUGUAUGUUGGAUUAGUUUCCUAUCUAGUUCAAUGUAGAUUCUGAUUCUAGCUCCUAGACUUGUGUUCAAGUGUCUUUCAUUUAACAGAUGAGUGCAAAGAAGGCCACUGGAUCCGCUAGAAAUUGUUCGAGCUGCAGGGUUUUGCUUGCUCGCUUGCUUACUUUGCUACCUCUUUGUAACCUGGUCGAUUUUGUUUUCUUCUACCAUUCUCAGUGUCGUGAAAAUGGAGAUGCACUGCUUCACAUUCUUAAUCUAAUUUAAUGUGUAAAAUGGCUGGCAAAUGCUGCUGCAAAGAUAUUAGUGGUAUAUGUGCAUGCAUUUGACAAUAUGAUUUCACAUGUGUGUUUGAAAAUUAACCAUACAGAUUAUGGUACUGUUAAUUUGGUGCAGUUGAAUGAGUGCUUGGUGUUGAUAUUUUGUUAAAUGAGCAUUAUGUUGUCUUAUAAUAGAUUGAUUUGCACUGUUUUGGUUAAUCAUAGUCCCACCACCGUAUGUGAUUUAAUUGACUAAGAUGUUGCAGUAGGCUUUGUUGCUAGCUAUUUAAGAUCACUUAAGAUAUUAAUAAACAUCAUGUUGUGAUAGUGGUGGUCAUUGUGUUAAAUAAAUUGUAACACUGGUAAUCUAGUAGAAAUUUUGAUCAAAUUGGAACUUUCAUAUGCUUAUAAAGCUUUCCUAUGAACAUUCAUAGGGAUUUUAGCAUGGCUGCUGUUGGCCCUUUGUAUUAAUAUGUAAUAAGUGUAUGUACAAACUGGAUGUUAAAAUGACAGGGAUUUCUGAUGGCGGUGGUGCACAUCCCGCGCCAGUUCAAGGUGCCGGACUGGUUCCUGAACAGGAAGGACUACAAGGACGGGAAGUUCGCCCAGGUCGUCUCCAACGCCAUCGACAUGAAGCUCAAGGAUGAUCUUGAGAGGCUCAAGAAGAUCACGGAGCUCCGCAUCCGAGUCUCGUCCAUCCUCGGCAGGAAGGAGCUGGGCCAAGGGAGCAAGCAGCGCUGCUGGUUACUUGGGGCCAGAUCGAAUUAGAUGACACACCAUGGCGUGUGGCGGUCUAUUUUGCUUCCAAGAGCAGUACUGUCUAUUUGAAAUGAGAUGUACUCGUCUACGGCCUAGUAAAAAAUUUAAGGAUUGUCAUGUACUGUCUAUGAUGUAGUGAGCUGUAGGAGUGAAAUGAAAUUUUAUCUGCUAUUGUAUGUGCUAUUUUCCUGUAAUGUGUUGUGUACAUUUUACUUGAACAUUAAA